Molecule: non-coding RNA, 24 nt
Filed under: Arabidopsis thaliana (thale cress)
Lineage: Eukaryota; Viridiplantae; Streptophyta; Magnoliopsida; Brassicales; Brassicaceae
Source: RNAcentral
ACGGUCAUAGUCCCUCUAGAAGCC